RNAcentral lists this non-coding RNA (86 nucleotides) under unclassified sequences. RNAcentral's name for it is "freshwater-2 RNA". It matches the Rfam family "freshwater-2 RNA". Rfam says of the family: Aquatic, esp. fresh water. No recognized genes The record is from RNAcentral.
UUUGACACAAAGUCAAAGACUUAUGCGGAUAACCACCGCGUAGCCAGGAGAACUGGCAUUGGACUCCUAUAAGGAGAAAAAAAAUG